RNAcentral lists this long non-coding RNA (488 nucleotides) under Homo sapiens (human). RNAcentral describes it as "HSALNT0320231". Lineage: Eukaryota; Metazoa; Chordata; Mammalia; Primates; Hominidae. The record is from RNAcentral.
GCCUUGUUAGGGCAUUAGGCAAAGGAUGUACAACUCCAAAAGAUUUGGUUGGUAUAAACGCCAAUGGGGAUCUGCCGGACAGACUGAACAGCUGACUGGGGGGCACAAAGCCAAAGGAGAAUGAUAAGGGGAGAGAGUAAGAAAGCAAUGAGAUACACAUGUCUUGACUGCUUCUCUUCAUGCUGAAAUCCUGGGGGAAAGAAGUGCUAAAUCAGUUGAGGACAUGGGAACAUUUAUUCUGGAAGAAAUUUGGGUACAGAGACAGACAAGCACCAAGAGAAGAUGAUGUGAAGAAGCACAGCGAGAACACCAUGUGAAAAUGGAGGACUGGAAUGAAGCAUCUACAAGCCAGGAAAUGUCUGAGGCUACCAGAAGCCAGGAGAGAGGCCUGGAACAGAUCCUGCACUAGAACCUUCAAAGAGAGCAUGGUCCUGCUGACAUGUUGAUUUUGGACUUCUGGCCUCCAGAGCUGUGAGAAUAAAUUUCAG